UCAAAACCAACAUUAAGUUGCUCAUUUUGCAACUGAUGAGAAGAGACACAGCUAAAGAGUGGCCAAAAAUUAGAUAAAACAAAUCCGUAAAAUAAAAUACAACUAAUAAUGGAAUAGCAAGAAAGGUUAUCAAGAGGCUUGUCAACAAAAUUUGCUUAGAACACUAUCAUGAGGAGUGGAAGCACCAGAGCAUAGGAUGAAAACAAGUAAAAGACCGGAUUCUUGCCCUUCCAAGUUGUAAUAAAGUGG
This 249-nucleotide long non-coding RNA is filed under the name Phoenix dactylifera (date palm). Its description in RNAcentral is "long non-coding RNA (PDAC_LNC004593)". Lineage: Eukaryota; Viridiplantae; Streptophyta; Magnoliopsida; Arecales; Arecaceae. The record is from RNAcentral.